RNAcentral lists this ribosomal RNA (497 nucleotides) under uncultured bacterium. Its description in RNAcentral is "partial 16S ribosomal RNA". It matches the Rfam family "Bacterial small subunit ribosomal RNA", at positions 28 to 507 of the family's 1533-position model. The record is from RNAcentral.
GAUGAACGCUGGCGGCGUGCCUAAUACAUGCAAGUCGAGCGAACAGACGAGGAGCUUGCUCCUCUGACGUUAGCGGCGGACGGGUGAGUAACACGUGGAUAACCUACCUAUAAGACUGGGAUAACUUCAGGAAACCGGAGCUAAUACCGGAUAAUAUAUUGAACCGCAUGGUUCAAUAGUGAAAGACGGUUUUGCUGUCACUUAUAGAUGGAUCCGCGCCGCAUUAGCUAGUUGGUAAGGUAACGGCUUACCAAGGCAACGAUGCGUAGCCGACCUGAGAGGGUGAUCGGCCACACUGGAACUGAGACACGGUCCAGACUCCUACGGGAGGCAGCAGUAGGGAAUCUUCCGCAAUGGGCGAAAGCCUGACGGAGCAACGCCGCGUGAGUGAUGAAGGUCUUCGGAUCGUAAAACUCUGUUAUUAGGGAAGAACAAAUGUGUAAGUAACUAUGCACGUCUUGACGGUACCUAAUCAGAAAGCCACGGCUAACUACGCG